UACGAAGGGGGCUAGCGUUGUUCGGAAUUACUGGGCGUAAAGCGCACGUAGGCGGUCUACUAAGUCAGGGGUGAAAUCCCGGGGCUCAACCCCGGAACUGCCUUUGAUACUGAUAGUCUCGAGUCCGGAAGAGGUGAGUGGAAUUCCGAGUGUAGAGGUGAAAUUCGUAGAUAUUCGGAGGAACACCAGUGGCGAAGGCGGCUCACUGGUCCGGUACUGACGCUGAGGUGCGAAAGCGUGGGGAGCAAACAGG
Molecule: ribosomal RNA, 253 nt
Filed under: uncultured bacterium
Lineage: Bacteria
Description: partial 16S ribosomal RNA
Rfam family: Bacterial small subunit ribosomal RNA
Source: RNAcentral